This 493-nucleotide ribosomal RNA is filed under the name uncultured bacterium. Its description in RNAcentral is "partial 16S ribosomal RNA". It matches the Rfam family "Bacterial small subunit ribosomal RNA", at positions 29 to 507 of the family's 1533-position model. The record is from RNAcentral.
ACGAACGCUGGCGGCGUGCUUAACACAUGCCAGUCGAACGGAAAGGCCUGCUUUCCCUUGUGGAUUGCGGGUGCUCGAGUGGCGAACGGGUGAGUAACACGUGAGUGAUCUGCCCCCAACUUGGGUAUAAGCCCGGGAAACUGGGUCUAAUUCCCGAUAGGACUGCAGGGUGGUGCCUGUGGUGGAAAACGAUUUUCUAGUGGUUGGGGAUGAGCUCGCGGCCUAUCAGCUUGUUGGUGGGGUAAUGGCCUACCAAGGCGGCGACGGGUAGCCGGCCUGAGAGGGUGGACGGCCACAUUGGGACUGAGAUACGGCCCAGACUCCUACGGGAGGCAGCAGUGGGGAAUAUUGCACAAUGGGCGGAAGCCUGAUGCAGCGACGCCGCGUGGGGGAUGACGGCCUUCGGGUUGUAAACUCCUUUCGACCGCGAGGAAGCCACCUGGUUGGAAGGGUGGUGACGGUAGUGGUAGAAGAAGCACCGGCUAACUACGUG